RNAcentral lists this ribosomal RNA (283 nucleotides) under Morganella morganii. RNAcentral's name for it is "partial 23S ribosomal RNA". It matches the Rfam family "Bacterial large subunit ribosomal RNA", at positions 1244 to 2249 of the family's 2925-position model. The record is from RNAcentral. Lineage: Bacteria; Pseudomonadati; Pseudomonadota; Gammaproteobacteria; Enterobacterales; Morganellaceae.
GAGCCGUAGAAAUCGGAACGCUAGUUUCGAUGGAGGCGCUGGUGGGAUACUACCCCUGCGUUAUGGCCACUCUAACCCGCACCACUAAUCGUGGUGGGAUUACCCGCGACAGGACGGAAAGACCCCAUGGAGCUUUACUGUAGUUUGAUAUUGAGUGUCUGUACCGCAUGUACAGGAUAGGUAGGAGCCGUAGAAAUCGGAACGCUAGUUUCGAUGGAGGCGCUGGUGGGAUACUACCCCUGCGUUAUGGCCACUCUAACCCGCACCACUAAUCGUGGUGGGA